UGAAGUAGGAUAUUCAAUGGAUGGUGCUUUAUCCUUGCACCGCAUCUGGCUUCCAUAAACUGGAGUAUUUUCCUUGUGCCCCCGAGCAGCCUGGGUGUGGCUCUUCUGGUGGAAAUGAAAACAGUCUGGGGCAAAAUAUGAAGCAUCUGGCAGCCCAUCCUAAAAAUUUGGGGCAUUUGUCUGAACUGAACACGACUGAGUGUAAAGGACUGAGUGUUAAAGAUACAUUUACGUAGCAACAGCAACUUGGAAGUCCAAGUCCAAGAAGGACGAAGUUUACCCAGAGCAAUAGCUUGUUGUUGGGGGAAGUUGUCUUCUAUACCGCCCUUAAGCAUUCUGUAUUGAUUUGCUAUGCCAUGGUGUGUCCAAUCCUUGGAAAGAAAAAAACCCUUCUAAACCUAAUCUUAAUAGUGAAGAUUGAGGCUCAAUAUUUUCUUUUUCAGUGGACAAAGUUCAGCUGAUAAAAUUCGAAGCAAAAGAUCCCUUGGAAAACAGCAAGUUAUAAAUAUAAUUGUCUCUCCCUGGCUGAUUUUAUUAAGAUGUCUAAGGAAAGUUCUCCAGAUGAAUGAUUUCAGUUGGCAAUCAUGUAUACCCAUGAGUGCUGAUCUGAAUCAUGCUUAUCCAUAAAUGCAAUUAAAGAUUGAGAGGCAGGGCAUACUGAAAAGUAUGUGACAGCCAUAGAUAGAGCCCAUGGCUGCAUUGAAGACUAUACAUCACAAUCAGAAAACUCAGAUCAAAUCCAAAGUACUGUCUAAUUUGUAGGACUCAUGGCUCAGGAACCCUGCAUCUGAGGGCUUGCCUACCCUCUCACAGGUUUAUAACAAUACCAAGAUUUUAAACAUACAUUCCUUUUGGAAAAUCUCCACCAUUUAAGUUUUGCUCUUUUUAGAUCUGCUGUGAAAUACUCUCUCCAAAGGUGCUCAUUCACCUGCUCCCUAUUUUAAUUAGCUUUAAACCAUUUAAAAUGUUGGCAGUCCUCAAAAGCUUUUGAGAAGCCUUUCAAAAAUAGGAGUCAAUAAUGCAAAUGAAUUGAGUAUAUUUAAAAUUAUGGAAAUAAAGAAUGCCAAAAUUUCACCA
Non-coding RNA from Pantherophis guttatus, 1077 nucleotides. Lineage: Eukaryota; Metazoa; Chordata; Lepidosauria; Squamata; Colubridae. The record is from RefSeq and is a predicted model, not a curated record.